AAUCCGUAUAGCUAAUGCAGCUAUCGAGUUCAGGACGAGGUGGUUUUCCGAAGUCCGUCUCCUCCUCUGGUCGGGACGAUUUCAAGAUGGCGUCACUGGUCCGAGUCAAGGAAGACGCACUGGAAUAAAACAGAUCCAGACGCUGACUUCUUUGACGAGGCUGCAGAUCAGGUUUCCUUCCAAGGACUCUUCCAUGCAGCUGUUUGCACAUCAGUGGAACAAAACACCAACGCUCCAGUGUCAGAUGAACCGUCAUACUGUUAUAAAACGUUCAGCUUUACCCUCCAGAAACGAUAACUUUUUGGACUUUUAAAAGAACAAAGGGUCUUGAAAUGAAAGAGAGUCAAGGCAGAUCUGCACCUGUAACCAAAGCCCGGUGGAUAGCGGCCUAAUUACCGCUCUCAUCUGGCACCCAGCUGCCUUCCUCGUCCUCGCCUGAACCCGGCGGAGGAAGACGAAGGCGUUAGUGAGUUAAAACGAGCCCGAAAAGCUGCGUGUCCAAGCAGAGGAGAAGGUCAGGACAUCAGGACACACUGGAUCUACAGUUACAUGGUCAGCCGCUGACGACAGCUCACACUUCUGUCAUGGAGGCAGGUAUCACUGUCCUCUAAUCCCAGCAGCUCCUGUUUUUAAACCCGGCCAUGCAGGAGCUGUCAGCGGCCAAACAUCAGGCCGAGCUGGAGGUGGACGGGUUCAGACUGAAACUGGUUCAUCACUGCACUGUAAAAUCUGCAGCAAGAGUCCCAGAAAAAUGGUUCAAAAAUGUAACAAACGGGGAACACAAUGACAAAUAACAGCUUUGAAAAAAGAUAUGUAUCAUUUUUAAAUCAUAAUAUUUGUACUAUUUCAUGAAGUUGUCUGACAAAUAAUUGCAAAAUAAAAUUAUAUUUUUUGCUGAUUUAUAUACAGUAAAAACUGUGCAACUUUUCACACACAUAUUGUAAAAGAAUAAAUGAAUACAUUUUUUGGAAGAUUUUUACUCCUUUUAAAAAAAAAUAUUGACAAGAAUUUUCUUGCCAAAUUCAGGGGAUUUUAUUUUUUACAAAACUUUUAAGGGAAACUUUUAAGGAAUUAUUGGAAUUUAAUUUUCUUCCUGAAGGUUUUGCAAAUUUUCAGAAAUCUAGGGAAUUUUUUUGCUGAAUUUUUGGAUUAUUUUCAGACAAGGAAACAAUAUUUUUUGGUGCCCGUAAAUGAGGACAACAGGAGGGUUAAACAUUGUAAUUUAGCUAAAAAUGGAAAAUGUGUCAACAUUCUUUCACUUCUUCUACAGUGCCAUAUAUAAAUGUGAAACACUGGAAAAUAACCGUCCAACCUUCUGUGCUUGAAUAAAGCUGGAAUAAACAAUAUUCCUGCACCGGAGUGAAUUUUUUCCACCCCAAAUGGACGUACUGAACCUGGCGGAU
Molecule: long non-coding RNA, 1403 nt
Organism: Amphiprion ocellaris (clown anemonefish)
Lineage: Eukaryota; Metazoa; Chordata; Actinopteri; Pomacentridae
Exons: 4
Source: RefSeq, a predicted model, not a curated record